ACGGAGGGUGCAAGCGUUAAUCGGAAUUACUGGGCGUAAAGCGCACGCAGGCGGUUUGUUAAGUCAGAUGUGAAAUCCCCGGGCUCAACCUGGGAACUGCAUCUGAUACUGGCAAGCUUGAGUCUCGUAGAGGGGGGUAGAAUUCCAGGUGUAGCGGUGAAAUGCGUAGAGAUCUGGAGGAAUACCGGUGGCGAAGGCGGCCCCCUGGACGAAGACUGACGCUCAGGUGCGAAAGCGUGGGGAGCAAACAG
Molecule: ribosomal RNA, 251 nt
Filed under: uncultured bacterium
Lineage: Bacteria
Also listed under: 1 other name
Description: partial 16S ribosomal RNA
Rfam family: Bacterial small subunit ribosomal RNA
Source: RNAcentral